This 383-nucleotide ribosomal RNA is filed under the name uncultured Bacteroides sp. Its description in RNAcentral is "bacterial SSU rRNA". It matches the Rfam family "Bacterial small subunit ribosomal RNA", at positions 42 to 414 of the family's 1533-position model. The record is from RNAcentral. Lineage: Bacteria; Pseudomonadati; Bacteroidota; Bacteroidia; Bacteroidales; Bacteroidaceae.
ACAGGCUUAACACAUGCAAGUCGAGGGGCAGCAUGGUCUUAGCUUGCUAAGGCUGAUGGCGACCGGCGCACGGGUGAGUAACACGUAUCCAACCUGCCGUCUACUCUUGGCCAGCCUUCUGAAAGGAAGAUUAAUCCAGGAUGGCAUCAUGAGUUCACAUGUCCGCAUGAUUAAAGGUAUUUUCCGGUAGACGAUGGGGAUGCGUUCCAUUAGAUAGUAGGCGGGGUAACGGCCCACCUAGUCAACGAUGGAUAGGGGUUCUGAGAGGAAGGUCCCCCACAUUGGAACUGAGACACGGUCCAAACUCCUACGGGAGGCAGCAGUGAGGAAUAUUGGUCAAUGGGCGAUGGCCUGAACCAGCCAAGUAGCGUGAAGGAUGACGG